RNAcentral lists this ribosomal RNA (429 nucleotides) under uncultured prokaryote. Its description in RNAcentral is "bacterial SSU rRNA". It matches the Rfam family "Bacterial small subunit ribosomal RNA", at positions 355 to 776 of the family's 1533-position model. RNAcentral also lists the same sequence under 1 other name. The record is from RNAcentral.
UGGGGAAUUUUGGACAAUGGGGGCAACCCUGAUCCAGCAAUGCCGCGUGUGUGAAGAAGGCCUUCGGGUUGUAAAGCACUUUUGUCCGGAAAGAAAUCAUCGGGGCCAAUACCCCUGGUGGAUGACGGUACCGGAAGAAUAAGCACCGGCUAACUACGUGCCAGCAGCCGCGGUAAUACGUAGGGUGCGAGCGUUAAUCGGAAUUACUGGGCGUAAAGCGUGCGCAGGCGGUGCUGUAAGACCGAUGUGAAAUCCCCGGGCUUAACCUGGGAACUGCAUUGGUGACUGCAGCGCUGGAGUAUGGCAGAGGGGGGUGGAAUUCCACGUGUAGCAGUGAAAUGCGUAGAGAUGUGGAGGAACACCGAUGGCGAAGGCAGCCCCCUGGGCCAAUACUGACGCUCAUGCACGAAAGCGUGGGGAGCAAACAGG